Molecule: transfer RNA, 102 nt
Filed under: Tilletiaria anomala UBC 951
Lineage: Eukaryota; Fungi; Basidiomycota; Exobasidiomycetes; Georgefischeriales; Tilletiariaceae
Rfam family: tRNA
About the family: Transfer RNA (tRNA) molecules are approximately 80 nucleotides in length. Their secondary structure includes four short double-helical elements and three loops (D, anti-codon, and T loops). Further hydrogen bonds mediate the characteristic L-shaped molecular structure. tRNAs have two regions of fundamental functional importance: the anti-codon, which is responsible for specific mRNA codon recognition, and the 3' end, to which the tRNAs corresponding amino acid is attached (by aminoacyl-tRNA synthetases). tRNAs cope with the degeneracy of the genetic code in two manners: having more than one tRNA (with a specific anti-codon) for a particular amino acid; and 'wobble' base-pairing, i.e. permitting non-standard base-pairing at the 3rd anti-codon position.
Source: Rfam by way of RNAcentral
GCCUCGCUAUUUCAAUCGGCAGAAUUUGAGACUCUUAAAGACCUUCUAGGAUCUUAUUGGAGAUUGAUCUCACGGUUGUGGGUUCGAGUCCCACGUGGGGCG